UACGUAGGGGGCAAGCGUUGUCCGGAUUUAUUGGGCGUAAAGAGCGUGUAGGCGGCCAUACAGGUCAGCUGUGAAAACUCGAGGCUCAACCUCGAGACGUCGGUUGAAACCGUAUGGCUAGAGUCCGGAAGAGGAGAGUGGAAUUCCCGGUGUAGCGGUGAAAUGCGCAGAUAUCGGGAAGAACACCCGUGGCGAAGGCGGCUCUCUGGGACGGUACUGACGCUGAGACGCGAAAGCGUGGGGAGCGAACGGG
RNAcentral lists this ribosomal RNA (253 nucleotides) under uncultured bacterium. RNAcentral's name for it is "partial 16S ribosomal RNA". It matches the Rfam family "Bacterial small subunit ribosomal RNA", at positions 524 to 776 of the family's 1533-position model. The record is from RNAcentral.